Quercus robur (English oak) is the source of this 3097-nucleotide long non-coding RNA. RefSeq lists it as uncharacterized. The transcript is spliced from 5 exons. Lineage: Eukaryota; Viridiplantae; Streptophyta; Magnoliopsida; Fagales; Fagaceae. The record is from RefSeq and is a predicted model, not a curated record.
UUUCCCCUUUCUUAUUUCUGGGUAUGAAAUAUGACUGAGGUUUUGGGUAUUUUGGUUGGGUAGGUAUAGAUUUAGAUAUUUGCUUUGAUGUUUUGGGAUUUUCUGUUACGGUUUGUAGAUUUCAGAAUAGCGUUGUUAAUUUUCCUCUUUCAGAUUCUCUCUCUGUUGUGUAAUUUACCAUUUUCUGCCAUCUUCAAUUCGGCCCACUUUAUUACUGUAUGCAUGUUCCGUUCCUAACCAACGAUAGAGGAAAAAAGAAAAUCCAAAAGCGCAAACCAAUUUUGCCUCUUCAGAAAUUGAACAGACCUCUUCUCUUUAAUCAACAACCAAUAGCAUCUCUUACAAUCUAACCCAUCUUAGCUUAGAAUAGAAAAAAAGAGAGAGAGGUUAUUAUGCAUUCUAGAAUAGCCGCUAAAGAGAGAGAAAUCUCAGGGUCAGCGAGUUUUUUUGGUCCAGCAUAUAGAGAGAGAGAAAUCUGAAGGACACUGCCACUGUCAGGCCAGCCUCCUGCACCAUAAGACUAAAAAAUUUCAAUGAUGGGGGUUAUUCAACAAUGAAAUGGGCCACAAUAGCUUUUAUUGGUAAGCUAAUAUAAUCUUGGAUUCCUACGAUAUAUGUUUCGUUGCUUGCUGCUGUGUCUAUGGUGUUACUAAAUGGGACCUGAUAUGAAUUUUUGGGUUUCUUUGAAUGCAGAUGAAAAUUUGCAUUGUUCUAUAUAUGUUAUUUUGAUAUUCUAUAUAUUUGUUUUUAUUGCAUUCCACAUGUUCAAUGAAAUCCCUUUUAGACUUAAUUAGUGAUGAUUGGAUUCAAUUUUUCCCGCCCUCAUACCAUGAUAAAUCUAAAUGAUUUAUUCAUUUAUGAACAAUGAAUUUGAACUAAAAAUUUCGAGGAUGAAGUCUAGAAGAUAUCAACAUGGUGGAAAAAAUGAAUUAUGAAACAAAUGUGAGGCAAUUGGUAGUAUUACAUAGCAUGUACAUAUUUUUUUUCAUGGCUAUGCAAUUGAUUGGGAGGCUCUUAAAUACUACCCCACAGCCCCACUACCAAAUACACAUCUAUAUCCUGGAAUCCAUGGGCCCUAACUUUGAUAAUGACCCAUGUAAAAUUUGGAUGACAAAGAAAAGAAUUUGAGUGAAUGGAAUUAUUGAAAUUUAAACUUUAGCACAAAAUCAGAGUAAAAGAAUGCUAUUAGUCUUAUUUUAUUGGUUCCUUCUUGAUGAGAAGCAAAUGUAGAAGCCACAGAAACAGUUUCAUUCUUGGUCUACACCAUUGAGAGAUCAGCAAAAUCUUAAGCAACUUGGAGUCAACAAGCCUACAGCUCUUGCUUUUAUGCUCUUUGCUUUCAUGUGGAUGGUGGCACUGACAAAUUGUUACUUUCUAAUUGGAAGAGUUAAGAGUUCCAAUAUGGAAUAUAGCACUAACGCAGAAGAUUAACCUCAAGUCGAACAGUGAACCUGUCAAGGUGAAUGGUGAUGUUUCAAUUCAUCCGAGUGAAAUAGAGCUGGCACUUCAGUGCAUCAUGGACAGAAUAUGGCUAAUCUAACUAAAUUGUUUUUUGGUUAAAGAGAUCUUAGACUUAAUUUUCUGCUAUUGGGGAAUUUUGAACUUUUGGCAUUGCUAUUGAACCUGACUCUAUAUUACACAAUUGUCAUUUUUGUUUUUUGAAGUGAUUGACAUUAGCAAGCCUUUAUUAAAAAUAUUAACUGUUGUACAUCAUGCUGAGUGCCUUAAAUAUUGUUAGAAGCUUUUGGAACUUCAGAAAAAGAUGGGAACAUGUUUAUAGGCUUUAAUAUUUUCACCCAAUAUACGGUCAAGAGUGUAAAAAGUAUACUUACAAGUAGAACAAAUGAUGGACGCACUGCAUUACCCAAAUGAAUUUCAAUGAAUUUUAUUGUAUUGUUAUGUUAAAUUGAUGGUAUUUUAAAUAUGUUAAAUGUUCCCGCACAUUGUGCGGGUUAAAUGUUAGUAUAUAUAAUGAAGAAAGUUCUUCACAGACACCGGAAGCAACAAAGUGCAACAAAGUAUCCUGAUCCCGUUGUAACUAUAUGAAAAAAAAAGCUAGCUUUAUUUUAUUCAGCAAAAAAUAAAAAACAGAUAACUAUGUAUUUCAUUGCACCUCUAAAUAAUACAACAAUAGUAGAAUCUUACACCAAGUGAAACUUCAAUCUAAGAAAUUAUUUUAUUACAUUCUUUGCAAUCAUGAUUUCGUAACUAGGGUAUUAUUUUCAUGUCUCUUAAUCGUCCCACCCACAUGCCAAUACUCUUCAAUGUAUUGGCAUACCCAAAAAAUCCAAACUCACGACUCUUGUUCAUGCUACAAACAUGUUGAAAAUCAAAAUGCAAAGCUAAAUUGCAUGCCUCUGGACAAACAAUUUCCUCCAUGUUGGUCUUAUAGAGCCCAUACUUUUCAACGAUCUCAUCCCACACCCUUCCCUUCUUCUUCAUCAUCCCAACCCAAUCAAACUUUUCAUUCUCAUCAAAUGGCACAAACUCAACAUCAAAGACCUCACAACACACCUUCCAUAAGCUCUUCCACGUAUAAACAUCACCAUUGGUGCAAUUAAAGGCUUGGUUCUUGGCUCUUUCCGUUACCGCAGCCCAAAUUUGUUGCUCCGCUAACACACGUGCAUCUGACAUGUCGCAGAAAUUCUCCCAUGUGUAUUUUGUACCUGUUAGAAUUUUUAUUAAGUGAUUAAAUUCAUCAUUUCCUAAUACCACAAAUUUAUCAUGAUAUUAAAUCAAAAAGUCAUGAGUUUGAUCUCUAUUUAUAUUUUGCAUCUCAUUUAAAUUGUUAAAAAUCUCAUGUGCUGUGCUCUAUUUAUUAAGGGAGAGUAUUAGAAUUAUAAUUAAAUACCUGGAUACCGAAAGGGCAAGCCUUGGUAUUUACAGAUAGUAGCAUACACGCAUAGAGUCAGCAAUACAUUGUAGAAGCUCCUUGAGGAUGCACCAACUAUUCUAGAAGAACGGUGCACAGAAUAUGAGAGUGAUGGUGAGUAUGAAGCCAAAAGGUCUUCUAGAGCAUAAUAGAAGUUAGGGUAGGGUAGUCGAGGCAUGUCCUCAUGAAAUGGAGGUUCAUGAUGCACAAGUUGGGCUCCAAGAA